AUGCCGGCCCUGAGGCCGCCGCCGCCGCGCCUCAUGCUCAACGCCGUCUCCUGCAUGCGGAACGCGCAGACGGUGCUGCGGGACAUCAACGUCAGCGUCCACGACGGCACGGCGCUCGUCCUCACGGGCGCCAACGGCUCCGGCAAGACCACCUUCCUGCGGAUGCUGGCCGGCUUCUCGCGCCCCUCGGCCGGGGAGAUCCUCUGGAACGGCCACGACGUCACCACCCCGGGGGUAUUCCAGCAGUACAAGCUGCAGCUCAACUGGAUGUCGCUCAAGGACGCCGUCAAGGAGAAGCUCACCGUGCUGGAGAACGUCCAGUGGUUCGAGCUCCUCGAGGGCAAGCACGGCAGGUCCGCCCCAGCCAUCGAGCUCAUGGGCCUCGGCAGGCUCAUGAACGACAAGGCCAGGAUGCUCUCCAUGGGGCAGAGGAAGCGCCUCCAGCUCGCCAGGCUGCUCGCCAUCGACCGCCCGAUCUGGCUCCUCGACGAGCCCUCCGUCGCGCUCGACUCCGAGGGCGUCAAGCUGCUCGAGUACAUCAUAGCGGAGCACCGCAAGAAGGGUGGGAUCGUCAUCGUCGCCACGCAUCUGCCCAUUGAGAUCGAGGAUUCCAUGAACCUCCGUCUUCCGCAGCGGUUCCCCCGGAGGAAAACUCUGGUUGAUCUUGUGCGUUGA
RNAcentral lists this ribosomal RNA (675 nucleotides) under Triticum aestivum (bread wheat). Its description in RNAcentral is "partial small subunit ribosomal RNA". Lineage: Eukaryota; Viridiplantae; Streptophyta; Magnoliopsida; Poales; Poaceae. The record is from RNAcentral.